This 472-nucleotide ribosomal RNA is filed under the name uncultured Methanolinea sp. RNAcentral describes it as "bacterial SSU rRNA". It matches the Rfam family "Archaeal small subunit ribosomal RNA", at positions 871 to 1337 of the family's 1478-position model. The record is from RNAcentral. Lineage: Archaea; Methanobacteriati; Methanobacteriota; Methanomicrobia; Methanomicrobiales; Methanoregulaceae.
UUGACGGGGAGCACCACAACAGGUGAGCCUGCGGUUUAAUCGGACUCAACGCCGGGAAACUCACCAGAUAAGACAGCUGAAUGAUAGUCGGGCUGAAGACUCUACUUGACUAGCUGAGAGGAGGUGCAUGGCCGUCGUCAGUUCGUACUGUGAAGCAUCCUGUUAAGUCAGGCAACGAGCGAGACCCACGCCAACAGUUGCCAGCUCGCCCUCCGGGGUGAUGGGUACACUGUGGAGACCGCCGCUGCUAAAGCGGAGGAAGGAGUGGGCAACGGUGGGUCAGUAUGCCCCGAAUCUCCCGGGCUACACGCGGGCUACAAUGGUUGGUACAAUGGGCAUCUACCCCGAAAGGGGAAGGAAAUCUCUUAAAGCCAAUCGUAGUUCGGAUUGAGGGCUGCAACUCGCCCUCAUGAAGCUGGAAUCCGUAGUAAUCGCGUUUCAACAGAACGCGGUGAAUACGUCCCUGCUCCUU